GGAGAGGUGUCCGAGCGGUUUAAGGAGCACGCCUGGAAAGUGUGUGUGCGCCAAAAGCGCACCGAGGGUUCGAAUCCCUCCCUCUCCGCCA
Molecule: transfer RNA, 91 nt
Filed under: Gammaproteobacteria bacterium
Lineage: Bacteria; Pseudomonadati; Pseudomonadota; Gammaproteobacteria
Also listed under: 1 other name
Description: tRNA-Ser
Rfam family: tRNA
About the family: Transfer RNA (tRNA) molecules are approximately 80 nucleotides in length. Their secondary structure includes four short double-helical elements and three loops (D, anti-codon, and T loops). Further hydrogen bonds mediate the characteristic L-shaped molecular structure. tRNAs have two regions of fundamental functional importance: the anti-codon, which is responsible for specific mRNA codon recognition, and the 3' end, to which the tRNAs corresponding amino acid is attached (by aminoacyl-tRNA synthetases). tRNAs cope with the degeneracy of the genetic code in two manners: having more than one tRNA (with a specific anti-codon) for a particular amino acid; and 'wobble' base-pairing, i.e. permitting non-standard base-pairing at the 3rd anti-codon position.
Source: RNAcentral